GCCGGCUUAGCUCAGCUGGUAGAGCAACGGUUUUGUAAACCGUGGGUCGCGGGUUCGACUCCUGCAGCCGGCACCA
Molecule: transfer RNA, 76 nt
Filed under: Pseudomonadota bacterium
Lineage: Bacteria; Pseudomonadati; Pseudomonadota
Also listed under: 2 other names
Description: tRNA-Thr
Rfam family: tRNA
About the family: Transfer RNA (tRNA) molecules are approximately 80 nucleotides in length.
Source: RNAcentral